GCGUCUUGGAUAGCUCAAAGGUAGAGCGCAUGACUCAAGCUCAUGAUGUCGAGGGUUCGAAUCCCUCUCCGCCGUG
This 76-nucleotide transfer RNA is filed under the name Deltaproteobacteria bacterium. Its description in RNAcentral is "tRNA-Leu". The stretch from base 8 to 70 matches the Rfam family "tRNA", at positions 5 to 66 of the family's 71-position model. Rfam says of the family: Transfer RNA (tRNA) molecules are approximately 80 nucleotides in length. Their secondary structure includes four short double-helical elements and three loops (D, anti-codon, and T loops). The record is from RNAcentral. Lineage: Bacteria; Pseudomonadati; Myxococcota; Myxococcia.